This 497-nucleotide ribosomal RNA is filed under the name uncultured bacterium. RNAcentral's name for it is "partial 16S ribosomal RNA". It matches the Rfam family "Bacterial small subunit ribosomal RNA", at positions 28 to 507 of the family's 1533-position model. The record is from RNAcentral.
GACGAACGCUGGCGGCGUGCCUAAUACAUGCAAGUUGAGCGCUGAAGGUUGGUACUUGUACCAACUGGAUGAGCAGCGAACGGGUGAGUAACGCGUGGGUAAUCUGCCUUUUAGCGGGGGACAACAUUUGGAAACGAAUGCUAAUACCGCAUAAAAACUUUAAACACAAGUUUUAAGUUUGAAAGAUGCAAUUGCAUCACUCAAAGAUGAUCCCGCGUUGUAUUAGCUAGUUGGGGAGGUAAAGGCUCACCAAGGCGAUGAUACAUAGCCGACCUGAGAGGGUGAUCGACCACAUUGGGACUGGGACACGGCCCAAACUCCUAAGGGAAGGAGCAGUAGGGGAUCUUCGGCAAUGGACGAAAGUCUGACCGAGCAACGCCGCGGGAGUGGAGGAGGUUUUCGGAUCGUAAAAGUCUGUUGGUAGAGAAGAAAGUUGGUGAGAGUGGAAAGCUCAUCAAGUGACGGUAACUACACAGAAAGGGACGGCUAACUACGUG